ACCCUUGCUGACGAGCUAAAGCACAAUGAGACCAUGCAGCACUCCAUUUGGGGGAUGCCGGGAUGUGGCGCUCCGAACUACCACCUGGGCACAAUGAAACGGACCAGAAGCCUCGACACGGCCGGGAUUUUACCCCAGGAGCAGAUCCGUGAUAAAGGCUUCAGUGGGACCCCUUUCCGCUGCUUGUGACAUGAAGACCACAACGUCCCCAAACUGAGAGAGCCACAGAGCAGCCGG
Non-coding RNA from Plectropomus leopardus (leopard coralgrouper), 237 nucleotides. The record is from RefSeq and is a predicted model, not a curated record. Lineage: Eukaryota; Metazoa; Chordata; Actinopteri; Perciformes; Serranidae.